RNAcentral lists this ribosomal RNA (508 nucleotides) under uncultured organism. RNAcentral's name for it is "SSU rRNA". It matches the Rfam family "Bacterial small subunit ribosomal RNA", at positions 8 to 509 of the family's 1533-position model. The record is from RNAcentral.
AGAGUUUGAUCCUGGCUCAGGAUGAACGCUAGCUACAGGCUUAACACAUGCAAGUCGAGGGGCAUCAGGCCGCAGCAAUGCGGUGCUGGCGACCGGCGCACGGGUGAGUAACGCGUAUCCGACCUGGCCUUCACUCCGGGACAGCCCUCCGAAAGGGGGAUUAAUCCGGGAUGUGUGGAGAAGUCGCAUGAGUUUUCCAUGAAAGAUUCAUCGGUGAAGGAUGGGGAUGCGUCCCAUUAGGUAGUCGGCGGGGUAACGGCCCACCGAGCCCGCGAUGCGUAGGGGUUCUGAGAGGAAGGUCCCCCCACACUGGUACUGAGACACGGACCAGACUCCUACGGGAGGCAGCAGUGAGGAAUAUUGGUCAAUGGGCGAUGGCCUGAACCAGCCAAGUCGCGUGCGGGACGAAGGCCCUCCGGGUCGUAAACCGCUUUAGCCGGGGAGUAACGUGGGGCACGUGUGCCCCAGUGAGAGUACCCGGAGAAUAAGCAUCGGCUAACUCCGUGCC